GUGCUCACUUCGGCAGCACAUAUACUAAAGCUGGAAAAAUGCAGAGAUUACCAUGGCCCCUGCGCAAGGAGGACAUGCAAAUUGGUGAAGUCUCUUGUAAUAAC
This is a small nuclear RNA of Camelus dromedarius (Arabian camel), 104 nucleotides long. Lineage: Eukaryota; Metazoa; Chordata; Mammalia; Artiodactyla; Camelidae. The record is from Ensembl.